Molecule: ribosomal RNA, 1017 nt
Filed under: uncultured organism
Description: bacterial SSU rRNA
Rfam family: Bacterial small subunit ribosomal RNA
Source: RNAcentral
UGAGGAAUAUUGGUCAAUGGACGAGAGUCUGAACCAGCCAAGUAGCGUGAAGGAUGAAGGUUCUAUGGAUUGUAAACUUCUUUUAUACGGGAAUAAACGAAUCCACGCGUGGAUUUUUGCAUGUACCGUAUGAAUAAGGAUCGGCUAACUCCGUGCCAGCAGCCGCGGUAAUACGGAGGAUCCGAGCGUUAUCCGGAUUUAUUGGGUUUAAAGGGAGCGUAGAUGGGUUGUUAAGUCAGUUGUGAAAGUUUGCGGCUCAACCGUAAAAUUGCAGUUGAUACUGGGUGUCUUGAGUACAGUAGAGGCAGGCGGAAUUCGUGGUGUAGCGGUGAAAUGCUUAGAUAUCACGAAGAACUCCGAUUGCGAAGGCAGCUUGCUGGACUGUAACUGACGCUGAUGCUCGAAAGUGUGGGUAUCAAACAGGAUUAGAUACCCUGGUAGUCCACACAGUAAACGAUGAAUACUCGCUGUUUGCGAUAUACAGUAAGCGGCCAAGCGAAAGCGUUAAGUAUUCCACCUGGGGAGUACGCCGGCAACGGUGAAACUCAAAGGAAUUGACGGGGGCCCGCACAAGCGGAGGAACAUGUGGUUUAAUUCGAUGAUACGCGAGGAACCUUACCCGGGCUUGAAUUGCAACUGAAUGAUGUGGAGACAUGUCAGCCGCAAGGCAGUUGUGAAGGUGCUGCAUGGUUGUCGUCAGCUCGUGCCGUGAGGUGUCGGCUUAAGUGCCAUAACGAGCGCAACCCUUAUCGAUAGUUACCAUCAGGUUAUGCUGGGGACUCUGUCGAGACUGCCGUCGUAAGAUGUGAGGAAGGUGGGGAUGACGUCAAAUCAGCACGGCCCUUACGUCCGGGGCUACACACGUGUUACAAUGGGGGGUACAGAAGGCAGCUACACGGCGACGUGAUGCUAAUCCCGAAAGCCUCUCUCAGUUCGGAUUGGAGUCUGCAACCCGACUCCAUGAAGCUGGAUUCGCUAGUAAUCGCGCAUCAGCCACGGCGCGGUGAAUACGUUCCC